GAUGAACGCUGGCGGCGUGCCUAAUACAUGCAAGUCGAGCGAACAGACGAGGAGCUUGCUCCUCUGACGUUAGCGGCGGACGGGUGAGUAACACGUGGAUAACCUACCUAUAAGACUGGGAUAACUUCGGGAAACCGGAGCUAAUACCGGAUAAUAUAUUGAACCGCAUGGUUCAAUAGUGAAAGACGGUUUUGCUGUCACUUAUAGAUGGAUCCGCGCCGCAUUAGCUAGUUGGUAAGGUAACGGCUUACCAAGGCAACGAUGCGUAGCCGACCUGAGAGGGUGAUCGGCCACACUGGAACGUGGACACGGUCCAGACUCCUACGGGAGGCAGCAGUAGGGAAUCUUCCGCAAUGGGCGAAAACCUGACGGAGCAACGCCGCGUGAGUGAUGAAGGUCUUCGGAUCGUAAAACUCUGUUAUGAGGGAAGAACAAAUGUGUAAGUAACUAUGCACGUCUUGACGGUACCUAAUCAGAAAGCCACGGCUAACUACGUG
Molecule: ribosomal RNA, 497 nt
Filed under: uncultured bacterium
Lineage: Bacteria
Description: partial 16S ribosomal RNA
Rfam family: Bacterial small subunit ribosomal RNA
Source: RNAcentral